UGUCUCCUGGGAUGUACGCCAGUUCAUUCAUGUCCCUGGCCGAUGCUUUAAAACUAGGAAGUUGAAACGAUGGCUAUUGUGCAAGCUCGGCGCGUAUCGAGAAGCCUACGGCUAUUGUGAUUCUUCCGCCCUGAACUUUUCGGUUCACGGGCGAACGAUGAACAGCGGCAUUCUGGGAGACGC
Alteromonas australica is the source of this 183-nucleotide non-coding RNA. It matches the Rfam family "6S / SsrS RNA". Rfam says of the family: E. coli 6S RNA was the first non coding RNA to be sequenced, but its function was unknown until recently. It consists of 184 nucleotides that fold into an extended hairpin structure with a large single-stranded internal bulge. The 6S RNA specifically associates with RNA polymerase holoenzyme containing the sigma70 specificity factor. The record is from Rfam. Lineage: Bacteria; Pseudomonadati; Pseudomonadota; Gammaproteobacteria; Alteromonadales; Alteromonadaceae.